This 254-nucleotide ribosomal RNA is filed under the name uncultured bacterium. RNAcentral's name for it is "partial 16S ribosomal RNA". It matches the Rfam family "Bacterial small subunit ribosomal RNA", at positions 524 to 776 of the family's 1533-position model. The record is from RNAcentral.
UACGUAGGCAGCGAGCGUUGUUCGGAGUUACUGGGCGUAAAGGGUGUGUAGGCGGUUGUUUAAGUUUGGUGUGAAAUCUCCCGGCUCAACUGGGAGGGUGCGCCGAAUACUGAAUGACUUGGAGUGCGGGAGAGGAGAGUGGAAUUCCUGGUGUAGCGGUGAAAUGCGUAGAUAUCCGGAGGAACACCAGUGGCGAAAGCGGCCACCUGGACUGUACCUGACGCUGAAACGCGAAAGCUAGGGGAGCGAACGGG